Non-coding RNA from Schistosoma curassoni, 45 nucleotides. The record is from Rfam. Lineage: Eukaryota; Metazoa; Platyhelminthes; Trematoda; Strigeidida; Schistosomatidae.
AUCCGUCUGACGAGUCCCACAUAGGCCGAAACGCGCUUCCUCGAU